AUGAACGCUGGCGGCGUGCCUCAUACAUGCAAGUCGAGCGAACGGACGAGAAGCUUGCUUCUCUGAUGUUAGCGGCGGACGGGUGGGUAACACGUGGAUAACCUACCUAUAAGACUGGGAUAACUUCGGGAAACCGGAGCUAAUACCGGAUAAUAUUUUGAACCGCAUGGUUCAAAGGUGAAAGACGGUCUUGCUGUCACUUAUAGAUGGAUCCGCGCUGCAUUAGCUAGUUGGUAAGGUAACGGCUUACCAAGGCAACGAUGCAUAGCCGACCUGAGAGGGUGAUCGGCCACACUGGAACUGAGACACGGUCCAGACUCCUACGGGAGGCAGCAGUAGGGAAUCUUCCGCAAUGGGCGAAAGCCUGACGGAGCAACGCCGCGUGAGUGAUGAAGGUAUUCGGAUCGUAAAACUCUGUUAUUAGGGAAGAACAUAUGUGUAAGUAACUGUGCACAUCUUGACGGUACCUAAUCAGAAAGCCACGGCUAACUACGUG
RNAcentral lists this ribosomal RNA (496 nucleotides) under uncultured bacterium. RNAcentral's name for it is "partial 16S ribosomal RNA". It matches the Rfam family "Bacterial small subunit ribosomal RNA", at positions 29 to 507 of the family's 1533-position model. The record is from RNAcentral.